UGGGGAAUAUUGGGCAAUGGAGGCAACUCUGACCCAGCAACGCCGCGUGAGCGAAGAAGGUCUUCGGAUUGUAAAGCUCUGUUUCGAGGGACGAAAACAAUGACGGUACCUCGGGAGGAAGCCCCGGCUAACUACGUGCCAGCAGCCGCGGUAAUACGUAGGGGGCAAGCGUUGUCCGGAAUGACUGGGCGUAAAGGGUGCGUAGGUGGUUAUAUAAGUCAGUAGUGAAAUUCCGAGGCUCAACUUCGGCGCUACUACUGAUACUGUAUAGCUAGAGUGCAGGAGAGGCAAAUGGAAUUCCUAGUGUAGCGGUGGAAUGCGUAGAUAUUAGGAGGAACACCAGUGGCGAAGGCGAUUUGCUGGACUGUAACUGACACUGAGGCACGAAAGCGUGGGGAGCAAACA
Molecule: ribosomal RNA, 405 nt
Filed under: uncultured Eubacteriales bacterium
Lineage: Bacteria; Bacillati; Bacillota; Clostridia; Eubacteriales
Description: uncultured Clostridiales bacterium partial 16S ribosomal RNA
Rfam family: Bacterial small subunit ribosomal RNA
Source: RNAcentral